AAAGCAAUAGCUGAUUGCAUUUAAUUUAAUGUAGUUACUACUUGGUAGUUUAAAUUUCUAGGUAGAAUUAUGAUGAUGACAUUAUCUAUCUAUUAGUCUUGACCAAAUUACGUGCCAGCAGUCGCGGUAAUACGUAGAAGACAAGUGUUAUUCAUCUUUAUUAGGUUUAAAGAGUACCAAGACGGUUAAUAAAGCCCAAAAGAAAUGAAUACGGGGGACACAUUAACUAGAGUUAUAUGAAAGGAAGCUCUAAGGUACUGUUGAGUGUAGAGAUGAAAUUUUAUUAUACCAGAUGAUUGGCACAGAUUUAUGCGAAGGCAUCUUCUUAUGUAAUAACUGACGUUGUAGGACGAAGGCUUAGGAAAUGAACAGGAUUAGGUACCCCAGUAAUCUAGGCAGAAAAUGAUGAAUGUCAUAGGUUCAAUAGACAGUUUAAAUAGACUAUCUAAUAGUAAAUAGGUGGUAUAUUAAUAAGUCUUGUGUCUAUAAAUGAAAGUGUAAGCAUUCCACCUCAAGAGUAAUUUGGCAACAUUGGAACUGAAAUCAUUAGACCGUUUCUGAAACCAGUAGUGAAGUAUGUUGUUUAAUUAGAUGAUACACAAAAACCUUACCACAAUUUGAAUAUAUAUAAAAUAUAUUUACAAGCGCUGCACGGCUGUCUACAGUUAAUGUCGUGAGACUUUGGUUAGCUCCAUUAAAUUGACGUAAACCCAAAUUUUAUUUAUAAAUAUAAUUAACAUUGCUAUAUUUGAUGUAUUKAGAGGGAMAWGACA
RNAcentral lists this ribosomal RNA (773 nucleotides) under Sticta sp. 4 JAMD-2022. RNAcentral describes it as "SSU rRNA". The record is from RNAcentral. Lineage: Eukaryota; Fungi; Ascomycota; Lecanoromycetes; Peltigerales; Lobariaceae.